Rhea pennata is the source of this 400-nucleotide long non-coding RNA. RefSeq lists it as uncharacterized. NCBI's taxonomy places the organism in Eukaryota, Metazoa, Chordata, Aves, Rheiformes, Rheidae. The record is from RefSeq and is a predicted model, not a curated record. The transcript has 3 exons.
AGAUUUGGCUUUUUGUCGUCAGCUGUGAAGCAAAAGUUCCUGUUCCUCAGAUCAAAUCACUCCCACAGUGUUUCAGAGGCUACUGCAGCUUGCUAACACAAAGAAGAUAGCCUCCCUUUUUUAAGAAGGGAGACUGCUAAGGACUUGUUGUAACAGCAGCUUAUCAGCAGUGCACUUCUGCAAAGGAGACCUACCCCAAGAGAGGAGGAUGCUACCACCUUCCCAGAAGAUGUACCUUGAUGCUCUUUCUGUCCAAAUAACAGAGCUGGGAAUGCUGCAGCCCAUUGUCCCUCCAGAAGACAAAGGCAGAAUAUCCUCCAGCUGCUCUCUACGCACUGAAGAUGGCACCUGCUCUCUCCAGAGGCAGCAAAUCCUCUGUUCAUCUCUGGCCAGCUGGUAA